This 142-nucleotide transfer-messenger RNA is filed under the name Burkholderiales bacterium. RNAcentral's name for it is "partial transfer-messenger RNA". It matches the Rfam family "transfer-messenger RNA", at positions 232 to 374 of the family's 374-position model. From Rfam's summary of the family: Bacterial tmRNA, also known as 10Sa RNA or SsrA, is named for its dual tRNA and mRNA-like properties. Its role is to liberate the mRNA from a stalled ribosome. Lineage: Bacteria; Pseudomonadati; Pseudomonadota; Betaproteobacteria; Burkholderiales. The record is from RNAcentral.
UGCCAAGAUAAAUAGUGGUUAGCUAAAACUAAGCUUGUAUAAUCGGCGUAGUCAAGGUGAAAUUUUAGUGGGUUAUACUAAGUAUGUAGUACUCGUUGUAGAGGACUUUCGGACGCGGGUUCAAUUCCCGCCACCUCCACCA